Long non-coding RNA from Cuculus canorus (common cuckoo), 9704 nucleotides. RefSeq lists it as uncharacterized. The transcript has 3 exons. The record is from RefSeq and is a predicted model, not a curated record. Lineage: Eukaryota; Metazoa; Chordata; Aves; Cuculiformes; Cuculidae.
UUCAGAAAGUGAAACGCUGUGAAACAGCACAUGGUAGCUUUCAUCCCAACCUCUCUCUCUUGUCGUACAACUCCUCAUCCAGAGUAACAGCAACCCAAAACAUGGCCUUGAAAAUAUCACUUCAAAAAAAAAUACACAGAUCAAUUUUCUGUAAGUUAAGAAUGUCAUGGCUCAUACUGUCUUUGAAACGGUCCGUUAUCAUUCAAAUCUGCAUAUUCAAACCAGCAUGAAAAUGCUUGGAAAUGUCUUGUUCAUGGUUCCUCAGCCAAUGCAGCCACAAGCUUAUGGUAGUUACAGUGUGGUGAUGAAAGAGAGCAUGCCAGGCAAAAACAUUUAGUUCUCUGAGCAUUCUUGUUCCAUAUUAUUUCUUACAAAAAUGACUUAUGUUGAUAGUGCUUUAUGUUAUGUCUUAUUACAGUUUGAGGCUAGUGUAUUUUAAGGUUGCAAUUAGAAACAAACGCCAUAUUUCGUUAUAAAAAAUAAUGUGAUUGGCUUUUAUAGCUUUUUCUAGAGAUGAUCACUCUUGGCCAAGCUCUAAAUUAAAUUUCCAGCUGCUGUAAUUCUGGAUUCAUCGUCUACUAAACAUGUGAAGUGUAAGAAUUCUAGACUUGUACUCAAGACUUGCACACAUACUUUGUAUCUGAAAUCUUUAACAGCAGAUUGUAUCUUGGAGUCUUACGACAUCUCUAGUCACCUUGCAAAGUGAUAUAUCCAGAAAGAAACUUCCAAUUUUUGCAUACCUAAAGUCAAAACUAUGAAGCUCUGUAGCACAAGUGAGGUAACCUUUCUUUGAUUUAUGAUGCAAGCCUGAAACAGACUUAGUAACUUAAUAGCUUUUUUUUUCCUUCCUGCAAAAAUAACUGCUGCACGGCAUACAGUUAAAAUUAAAUAUUAACAGAGCUGCAGAAAUAUACGCUGAGGGCAUGAUGUGUGCUUGGAGUAACUUGGCUCCAUGACUUCUCUAAAUACAAGGUCUAUUUUUGAAGCAAGUGAUUUAUUGUAACAGCUUUAACAUGCUAUUCCAUAUAGAGCUUAGCAAGCAGCAUGCUCAACUUCAUGAAAACUGAGAAAUGGCUCUGGUAAAAGUUAAGGGCCAUUUGGUCCAGCUAAAUCACUGCUAUAAAGUUCCAGGAGCAGCCACCUGCUAUAAAACUUGCUUCAUUGGUUGAGGCUCAAAGUUAGUGUUCUCUAAGAUAUCACUGUACGGAGAAAGCCUACAGAGAAGUUGGAGGUGUGAUUUGAAAGCCCGAGGAAUCAUGAAAAAGCCAAGCAGCAUGUCUGGUAUCCUACACAGGGCAAGAACAUAGAGUGUAAUAAAAAAUACUACCAGGUAGUCCCUUAAAUGUAUUUUCCAGCUGACACCCUCCAUUUCUUCAGCACUGCAUAAUAUACACUGUUCUAAUGCAUUUGCACCCCAACGUAGCAUGGGGGGUGUGCUUCAAGUAAGACUACAAGGGGCUCAGGAACAUGAUGUGUGCUUAUAUAUGUUAAGGACUCAAACCCAGCCCCUCGGUACUACAACCAAUACACAAAAAAGCUGUUUAAAUAUGUAUGUGUAGAUAUGUCAUUACCUCAAAGGCAGUUAAAAAAUGUUAGAGACUAAACCACAAAUUUCACAGUAGCAAUGUGUGGCAUUAAUAUGACAUAUUAAUAUCCUUAUGGUAGGUGAUUAAGGGAGGAAAUGGACCUUGGUGAAUUAACCUUCCCUAGCAGAGUGAAACACGCUCCUAUAAACUGAACUAAAUUAAUGCAGUACAUUGGAAUAUUUCCAACCCUGUCUUUAACACAACAGGCCUUUUUUCUUUUUUUAAAAUCAUAAUUAUAUUGUAGAUGAGUAACUAGGACAUAUGAGCCACUCAGCAUGGAUGUGUAAAAUACAGCGCAUCGCUGAUUAUGAGCAUUUCAUAAACCUAAAUGUGAUGGUUGAUUCUUCCAGACAGCUUAAAGAUCCACAUAACCAUGUUAAUGCCUCUGCUGUACCUCUUCUUAAUUUAAUUUUUUUCCAUCUGGGGGUGUACGUGCAGAAAUAUCGUGCAUCUUCAAGCACAUUACUUUACACUGAUGUUACUGAAAGGAAACUUCCCAAAUGAAUUUGAGCUUUUGAGGGUUUUUCAUAUCACAGCCUAAGGUAUUUUAGCAGGAUUCAAUAAAAAAUUGCCCCCCCCCUUUUUACAUCAUCACACAUCACUCAUUGUUAACAUUAAAACAAGCUUUAGAGACAGUCAAACCUCUUUGAAUAAGCAGCAAUGCAAUAUUUUUCUUGGAGUUAAUUUCAAACUGUGGUUUACCAUGUGAAUCACUCCCUAGAGUCAUUAUUUAAAUUUAAUUUAAGUAGAUAAUAAGUAAAAACUUAGGAACACUGCAGUGUUCUACCCCAAUGUAGACAUACAACAAAAUACUGUGACUUUGGAUAUUCAACUGAUUCCAACUGUUGAAUAAAAUGCUUUAAGCAGUAAAAAAACCCAACCCAAUGAACAGACAGGUCACGCAGACUGGAAAAUUCGGCCAAGCUGACUUACUGUAGAGGAUACACGAGACUUUAGUUUGUACAAUCACAUUAUUGAUUUGGUUGCUAGAAGUGUUAGAUCUUAAUUCUCACGAAGUUGUUGGAUUUAUGUCUAAUUACAUGACUUGUGAAUUUGGCUAAAACUGCACAACAGAAUUUAGAUGACGUUCAACAGAAAUGUACUUGAAAUGUACUGACCGCAUGGCUUUACUGUAACCAACUCUUGGUUCUUGGUAUAGCAAAAUCAAUGAAAACAAAGCAACAUAGUGUGAGAAAAGAAAUAAAAUCAAGGCAUUCAAAUUUUUCUACCUUUAAAUUCCAGCAUGAGGUCUGAAUAACUGCAAUAGAAAUAAUUUAUAUGCCUGCCUUUGCUUUUCCAGUACCUGUGGGUUAUUUUCUAAUUAAGUGACAUGAGCCUGAUUCUGAUCUCACUGACUUAAGUUAAAACAUUGCUGAUUUCAAAUGGUUGAACUAGAAAAUGAAUUCUUGUCUUAAGCCUGUCUAUUCCUCAUCAUGGGUAAAAGGAGUAAAAAGCGUUUCAAGCUCCUCUCUGCCAAAAAAACCUGAAGCCCUUCAGAUCCGCAUUCUGAGGAUGUUCCCCAUCUUACAGACACCUUGUGGCCUCAGGCCUGAGCACUCACAUAGAAUGGAUAGCUGGAAGAAGAGUAAUUAAGUGCUGAGACCACAUUAUAGGCAGAGAAUUGAGACAAAAUCAAUCAGUACUGCUUUUGUAUGACAAACUUCUCACAUAAAUAUUUCUACAUUAAACAUAAUCUUCUCUCAGAUAUGAUCAACUAAGCAAACAAAAGAACAUCCUCAGUUUCCACUACAAACUAAGGUUCCGAUAUCACAGAGGUCAAAGCAACCUCUUAAGAAAGGAAUUACAAGUUCAAUCAAAUGAAUAUCACAAUGGGUAGGCGGUUGUUAUAUCAGCACAAACUCUGCCUCUACAUCUAGAUUUGAAAUGCUGUGUUAGUUGUAAUAAAACAAUCUGCUGAGAAAAUGUUCAGUCACUAAGUGUUACAAGUUUAAAAGAAAAGAGGCCGGAGCUUCCAGCACAGGAGAUUCAGUGCCCUGCGCCUGACUGCACGUCUGAAUAGAUACAGCAGUUUCUUCUGGGGCUCAGCAAUUAUUAGGCUUAGAAGUCACAUUCCAGGAAAACAUAUUUUAUAGAAUGGAUCUUGCAGAAAACCUUUUUUUUUUGCAACAUUAGAAGGGAGAAGGUGGAGUUGUCUGCACAGAAUAACGUUCCAUUAGAACUGUCUGAUACAAAAGCCAAUGAUACAAAGGCCAGUGGCAUCUUGGCUUGUAUCAGAAGCAGUGUGACCAGCAGGUCCAGCGGGGUUAUUCUGCCCCUGUACUCAGCACUGGUGAGACCGCACCUCAAAUCCUGGGUUCAGUUCUGGGCGAUUCGCCCCAAGAAGGAUGUUGAGGCUCUGGAGCGUGUUCAGAGAAGGGCAACGAAGCUGGUGAGGGGCUGGAGAACAAGUCUUACGAGGAGCGGCUGAGAGAGCUGGGGUUGUUUAGCCUGGAGAAGAGGAGGCUGAGGGGAGACCUUAUUGCUCUCUACAACUACCUGAAAGGAGGUUGUGGAGAGGAGAGGAGGGAGCUGGGCUCUUCUCCCAAGUGACAGGGGACAGGACAAGGGGGAAUGGCCUCAGGCUGCGCCACUGGAGGUUCAGGCUGGACAUCAGAAAAAAAAUUUUCACAGAGAGGGUCAUUGGGCACUGUCAGAGGCUGCCCAGGGAGUGGGUGGAGUCACUUUCCCUGGAGGCUCCAUUCCCUGGAGACAGGUGGAUGAGAUGCUCAGGGACAUGGUUUAGUGGCAGAUGGGAAUGGUUGGACUCAGUGAUCCUGGAGGUAUUUUCCAACCUACUGAUGCUGUGAAAAGGAUUAAUGCAAAUAAUCAUCGCAUUUCAAAAACACCCAUGCAAUAGGCGGAUUCCACGUUCAAAAUAAGAAAAAAAGAGAACAGAGCUUUUGCUAGUGGUGUGUAACACAGCUCUUGCUGCUGCAGCUGCAUGAUUCAGCAGUCCAUGAAAAUCUAUUUAUUUUUUAUCUAUGUAUACAGUCAUUCAUCUCUUUUCAAGAUACAUGUAUAUACUGAUAUAAUUCAUUACCACCUUAUGAUUUAUGAUUCAAGCCUAAUUAUUCAGAAUCUUUACUUCAUAUUUCUACACGUUAAGACAAAUCCCUAAUCCCCUGCAAAAUGUGUUGAUCUUCCAGUUUGAGUUGCGCUCUUGGCACUUCCCUCACCCUGCCUGGGACUUUCUAAAAGGGCAUUUCCCUCUCCCCACAACACAGCAUGGUUUGAUCUCUUCCACAGUGAGAAAAGACAAUGAGGUUUUCCAGUCCAGCAGAGCAACUCCUGUGUCUGAAACUGCAUUCGAGAGAUUCUUUUAGCGUGCUGUUUAUAAAAUGAAAAUGAUCUGCAUGCUCAGCAGUGAAACUUUAUAAUCAUCUGCUCAACUAAACAGGUCAAGCUUGUUCUGGUGCAACACCAUCCAGAUUCCUGGAACCGGAGGCGACUCGGCACUGUGUGGGAAGCACAGAGCACAAUUCGGGUUAAAUUGCCUCAUUUCCUGCCAGCAGCUGGCAGCACGUUGUGACCACAGUUCUAUGCUUUUUGGAAUCUGCCUAACUGUAGUAAGGACAAUUUUGUCAGAGAGGAAUACAAACUUCUCUUUCAGGACAUGAACAGAGUUUGGGUUUCAAUCCUCAAACAAUUUUUAGGUGGAAUACUAACACACUGAUCACUCAGCACUAGAGUUCCUCCAACUCGCAGUGCCGGUUAGCAUUGCCAUUUGAGUUAAUAUUCGUGGCAGUUUUAAGGGAGGGGUUUCCCCUGUGGGUGGAGAGAAAGGGAUGAAACGGGAAGCAGCUAGGAGAGCAGCUGUGUCACUUCUUCAAACGAAUUACUGCCCAAUAAUCAGCUUAAUUAGCUCUUUCCUGUUGUGGUUGACAAAGAAUCCCUCAUUCAGUUUAUUCCCAGUAGGAUAUUUUGGAUUUUUUCUCGAGUUUAGUGUAAAAAACAGAUCAACGCAACAUUUCUGAAACCAUUUCUGCCAUGAGGAGGGGUCUCGUUUCUAAUACUGAGCAGCAGCACAGCUCUUCGCGUUGCAUCACGUGAAAUGCAGCCAAUGCUAACAAACAUUCCCCUGUUUCCCAUCGCUCUCAUCCCACUCUGUCUCACGGUCUCUGUGGCUGGAAAAGAAAGCUAACGGUUCAAACGAUGCAAGGCUGAUGCUACCCUUCAGCCGACCAGAAGAGGAGGCUCUGGCACUGAGCAGCGGGCUUCUUCCCUCCAGAAAGAUGCUGAGAUCCUGCAGCAAUCCCUUACUACAAGGGGGAAAUUGCAGUUUAAUUUCCCAGCGUAACCUCAGUGAAUGAGCUUAAAACUGAUAAAUGCAGAGGAGUCUCAAACAUUUGGGAAUAGAAGGAAGCUAUGAAUCAGCUUAAAUUUCAUUCUGAAAAUUUAUUAUUCUUUUCUUUAUAAAUAUUUCAGUUCUAUGAAAGGCAAAUGCUCCUUACAUACUGGAGAAGUGAAAAGCAAAUUUAUAUUGGAAGAUAUAAUACAAGUUUUCAAGGUUCCUUUCUGUUGACAGCCCGUGUUCUAUUUAUCUAUUGCUAAGACCAUCCAGUCUUUAUCCACCUUUUGCACUUCUCAAGGAACAAUUUUAACACUAUACUAAGGAAUUUGACUUCCCAACAUUCCUAAGCAGCAGCUGCUACUUUAAACUGCUUAUAGAAGAAAGGAAAUGGAGGCACCAUGGCUUUAAAUGACUCUGCGCAAAGACAGCCAACAACUCGUGAGGCAGCCAACAAAUUGCAUUUGGCUCAGCCAGCGCUUCUAUCCUGUGCUUUACUUAAAAGGUCAAUCAUCUCUUCAUCUAUUUUCUCUUCACCACAUAAGUUCCCAAAUUUGGCAGGAGACAAAUCGUGAGCAUAAUGAGAUCCGCACUGGGACUCUGAAAUAAGUGUGUUCAGUACGGUUUCAUGAACAGGACAACACUGAAAUCAAAGAGCCUGUCUUAAUACUUUUAUGCAAAGGGACAAAUGUUAAAGCUGUGCUUAGCCUUAUAGCUUCAGCUUAAACAUUUUGAAUGGCACGAAGCUAAAUCUUCACCUGGGCUGUGCCCCCUCUGAAACUGCUUAGUUUCAGUCCUCGGACUCAUGCUUACUCUCCCUGUUAUUUGAAUGUUUUCAACAUUAGUUAUGCCCUUUCUUCCAGCUAUGCCACACCCGUGCAAAAGACUUGACUAAAUCUUUUGACUACCUCAAAAAAGGUUUGACUACCUAUGAAUCUAUGAUUCUACACUAAAUCAAAAUUGUUUCAAGUUUGAGAUUAAUGCCAGAUAAGGAAAUAGUGAAACUGCAAAACAGUCAAACUUUUAUUAUAGUCAAACUAUUUAUUUAUUACAGCCCUGCAGCUCAGCUGAUGCCAUACUUACAGCUGCAGAACCUGUAUCAACCAUAGCAUUGAUGAGCUCAAGAAUGUAAGGAGAGACUGUGUGUUACUUGUGGAAUUUGUAGAAGUUUUUAUCAUUGUGAAGAACUUUGAGGUUUUUAUACCUUCCUUACAUGUUUGUAAAAGAAUGUAUGCUUAUUUUUCUAAAACAGAAAAAAAAACAUGACCAGAGCAGUCAGAGAAGAAAUACAUGCCUGAAAAUUAGUGAAAGCUGCAGUCCAUACAAGAGAAUUUAUGGUUUGUAUUGGACACUGAACUUGGACAUGCAGAUACUUCAGCAAACAUUGCCAUGCCUUAACCUUGACUGAGAGAAAGGUGAGAAAAACUCCUGAUGUUUGAGGACAACACUGUCACGACUGUCUUAUAAUGUAGGGGUUUUGCUGGUUUUUGAAAUGCUAUUGAAUUCAUUCAUAUGAAAUAUCAAAAUAUAAAUACAGUCAAGUGGUGGUCUGGAGGUGACAACUUUUGCCUAUGUGUCAUAGAAUUCACUGUUACUAGGAAUAAUAAAGGGGCAAGCAAAGGAACCUGGGGUUUUGAAGUAUAUUUACUGUAACAUGACUUAUUGCAACAAUCCUGUACCACUGUUCAUGUCAGUAAAUACUUUUUAAUCUGGAUUUUGAGAUUCUCCAACAGCUCAAUGCCUUCAUUCCCUUCCAAACCACCCUCAGAGAAGAAUUUUCUUCAGUUAAAAUUACUGUUGUCUGUAAGUAUAUGAGUGACACAAAUGUCACACCUCCUGAGCUGCAAAGGGCCUCUCACCCAGCACUCUACUGGUGCCCAUUCCCCCAGGCCAAACACCCUACACCAGAGACCUUUCUGAACACUGGUAGAUGCCUUGUUCCCCACCAAACCCUCUCUUAGAUGCCACCCUUUUCACCCAGAAAGGUUCUAGUAAAGCUUUUUUGCAUCUGCAAGUACUUUCUGUAGCCCACUCAGAAGAGGCUGCCUCCAACAGCUCCUAUAAACCUUUCCCAAGCACCGAUGCACAGAAUGCUCAAGUGCAAGACAACAUGCUCCUGAAAAACAGCUGAGUCCUUUGAUCCUCAUCUCUCUCUGAAGAGUUAAAAUAAGGAAUGUAAACUGACUUUAUAGCUUUGCAUGUCAAAGGCACUUUCAGGACCUUGAAAGAAAACCUACAGUGCAUUCAAUUAACUUUUCUAUAGGAUAGAUAGGAGGAAAAUGUUUUGUGUAGCAAAUAGCUUUGAAUAUCUAUGGCAGAAACUUUAAAAUGGACAUUUGCUAGGAAGAAAUGCACCUAGUACAGAGCAAUGGGAAUCUGAUAUUUAAAAAGCUUUUAUGUGCCUGUGGUGGAAGUUGGCAAAUUUGUCAUACCUGCACAAGUACUGCUGAGGGUCCCAAAAGACAGGUGUCAGUCCCGUGUUGGUGAGUAACUCUGAAGAGACAAGGCUACUACUUGAUGCCUUGAAAACUAACAACAUUCUGUGCAGUUCUUGAGGGAAAAUAAGCACUCUCUCCUGCUUCCUGUCCUUAUGACUUUGCUGGUGCAGUCGAACACCCGCCUAACUGUACGACUGAUUGGUUGUUUUUGUUCUAGGAAUUUCACAGUGCUGGUUGAUGACUCUUCCAAUAACUUUCUCUCAGAUAACUUCUAUAAAAUCAUAAUAUAAACUGAAACAACUGCCGAGUGAGAUAAGGCCUCAAUUUAAUCUUCCCUUGCCAAAAAGUUUACAAGAUCCUCAGCAAAAUAACAUUUAUUUCUGUCUCAAUUAAUAAAUGUCAAAUUUCAAAUUUGACAAAAUAAAAUUACAUCAAAUUAUCCUCCCCAAGUGCAUUCUCCUCUUUUACUCUGAACAUGUUUGCAGCGUUUACAGGGUCAAUGUUACCUUCUGAGCUCUGAAUUUGGAAAGCAUGGUCUUUACAGAAACUACUUAAAGUUGAUAUAUGGAAGUCUACUGCCCAAACCAGUAGAACACCGUCUAAUCGCCCAUUUAUUUUCAUCUCCAAUGUUUCCUAUUUAUACCACACACUAGGGAUAAAACUGGCAGUCACAGAAGGGUAAAUUUGCAACAAUGGAGAUUUUAUCUCCUCUCCAUUUAUCUAAUUAAGUGUGUCAGCAGUACAAAUGUCCUACCCAGUGCUCAAGCUGAAGGAUAUACACCAUCUUUCAGGUUUCAUCAAGAGAUGAGUUGCCAGUCACAGUCAAUGAAUGCUGGUCAUUCUAACAUGAACAUUUAUCUUAUGGAAAAUGAUGAGCUUUGAAAACAGAAACCAAGCCAUCCAUUUCCUCUGCCACUUGCUGUUAUUUAUUAAACUGACUUAUCCUCUUUAUUUUUUAUUCUCAUGUCAUUUGAAUAAUCUGACAAGAAUGUGAUAUGACGCAAGCUUUCAAAUGCCCUGAUGUCCUCUUUGUAAAUCAGUGUUUUUUCAGUCGUAGUCAGGAUUUGGAUACACCAAGGUGCAGUCUAAUGGCUCUUGCCCAAGAAUCUAAAAAGUCAAAUGCGUAUUUUGAGAAGCCUUGGUAACCUAGAUGAAAACAAACUGCUCAGAAUGGGUCAGGUCAGAUCACAUCAGAGGACAGAUGGAUGCUUUGGUUCUGCUAAUCAGAAAUUAGCCAGACAGAGAUCACUAACACGUUACAUUGUGGCAGUUUUGCUGCCUGUGCAUUUGUUCAGUGUUUACUUACUUGGAGUGGGCAAAACCUGUUUCCUAUAGUAGAUAUUUACCUUCACUGCGGUAGAUAAAAAUGAUAUUAACUUUGGCUGAGAAGAA